GCCAGACUCCUACGGGAGGCAGCAGUGGGGAAUAUUGCACAAUGGGGGAAACCCUGAUGCAGCGACGCCGCGUGAGUGAAGAAGUAUUUCGGUAUGUAAAGCUCUAUCAGCAGGGAAGAAAAUGACGGUACCUGAUUAAGAAGCCCCGGCUAACUACGUGCCAGCAGCCGCGGUAAUACGUAGGGGGCAAGCGUUAUCCGGAUUUACUGGGUGUAGAGGGAGCGUAGACGGUGAUGCAAGUCAGAAGUGAAAGCCCGGGGCUCAACUCCGGGACUGCUUUUGAAACUGUGUAACUGGAGUGCAGGAGAGGUAAGCGGAAUUCCUGGUGUAGCGGUGAAAUGCGUAGAUAUCAGGAGGAACACCGGUGGCGAAGGCGGCCUGCUGGACGGCGACUGACGUUGAGGCUCGAAAGCGUGGGGAGCGAACAGGAUUAGAUACCCGAGUAGUA
This 448-nucleotide ribosomal RNA is filed under the name uncultured bacterium. Its description in RNAcentral is "bacterial SSU rRNA". It matches the Rfam family "Bacterial small subunit ribosomal RNA", at positions 330 to 795 of the family's 1533-position model. The record is from RNAcentral.